CUGAAAUCACAAAAGCUCCAACUGAGAGAUAGAG
RNAcentral lists this small RNA (34 nucleotides) under Bombyx mori (domestic silkworm). Its description in RNAcentral is "ovarian small RNA-14781". The record is from RNAcentral. Lineage: Eukaryota; Metazoa; Arthropoda; Insecta; Lepidoptera; Bombycidae.